CCUACGGGAGGCUGCAGUGAGGAAUAUUGGUCAAUGGACGAGAGUCUGAACCAGCCAAGUAGCGUGAAGGAUGACUGCCCUAUGGGUUGUAAACUUCUUUUAUAUAGGAAUAAAAUGUUCCACGUGUGGGAUUUUGUAUGUACCAUAUGAAUAAGGAUCGGCUAACUCCGUGCCAGCAGCCGCGGUAAUACGGAGGAUCCGAGCGUUAUCCGGAUUUAUUGGGUUUAAAGGGAGCGUAGGUGGAUUGUUAAGUCAGUUGUGAAAGUUUGCGGCUCAACCGUAAAAUUGCAGUUGAUACUGGCAGUCUUGAGUACAGUAGAGGUGGGCGGAAGUCGUGGUGUAGCGGUGAAAUGCUUAGAUAUCACGAAGAACUCCGAUUGCGAAGGCAGUUCACUGGACUGCAACUGACACUGAGGCUCGAAAGUGUGGGUAUCAAACAGGAUUAGAUACCCCGGUAGUC
RNAcentral lists this ribosomal RNA (460 nucleotides) under uncultured bacterium. RNAcentral's name for it is "partial 16S ribosomal RNA". It matches the Rfam family "Bacterial small subunit ribosomal RNA", at positions 338 to 795 of the family's 1533-position model. The record is from RNAcentral.